GGAGUAUUAUUUUAGGGGAAGAACUUGAAACACAGCUUUUUAAUUAUGAUAAAAAAGAGGGAGAAAAUAUCUUAAAGCUUAUUGUUAUUCACUAAUGCCCUUGUCUUUCAUGAGUUGUGUUUUUACUCAGAUUAUUACUAAAAGCUUUAAUUCAAAGGAGUUUUUGAUCAUCAUCAAAAAGGGGGAGAAUGUUAGCAAAAUGAUAAAGAUGAAGUUUUGAUGAUGCCCAAAUCAAGUCAAGAUAUAUCAAGAUUCAUGAAGAUCCUUUGAAGACUUA
Molecule: long non-coding RNA, 277 nt
Filed under: Vigna radiata
Lineage: Eukaryota; Viridiplantae; Streptophyta; Magnoliopsida; Fabales; Fabaceae
Description: long non-coding RNA (VRAD_LNC014837)
Source: RNAcentral